RNAcentral lists this non-coding RNA (26 nucleotides) under Homo sapiens (human). The record is from RNAcentral. Lineage: Eukaryota; Metazoa; Chordata; Mammalia; Primates; Hominidae.
UGAGGCGGGCGCCAUGCAGACGGGCA